UUGAACGCUGGCGGCAUGCUUUACACAUGCAAGUCGAACGGCAGCGGGGGCUUCGGCCUGCCGGCGAGUGGCGAACGGGUGAGUAAUGCAUCGGAACGUGCCCAGUCAUGGGGGAUAACUACGCGAAAGCGUAGCUAAUACCGCAUACGACCUGAGGGUGAAAGCGGGGGAUCGCAAGACCUCGCGCGACAGGAGCGGCCGAUAUCGGAUUAGCUAGUUGGUGAGGUAAAGGCUCACCAAGGCGACGAUCCGUAGCUGGUCUGAGAGGACGAUCAGCCACACUGGAACUGAGACACGGUCCAGACUCCUACGGGAGGCAGCAGUGGGGAAUUUUGGACAAUGGGGGCAACCCUGAUCCAGCCAUUCCGCGUGAGUGAAGAAGGCCUUCGGGUUGUAAAACUCUUUCGGCAGGAACGAAACGGUGAGCUCUAACAUAGCUUGCUAAUGACGGUACCUGAAGAAGAAGCACCGGCUAACUACGU
RNAcentral lists this ribosomal RNA (482 nucleotides) under uncultured bacterium. RNAcentral describes it as "bacterial SSU rRNA". It matches the Rfam family "Bacterial small subunit ribosomal RNA", at positions 30 to 506 of the family's 1533-position model. The record is from RNAcentral.